Molecule: ribosomal RNA, 301 nt
Filed under: uncultured bacterium
Lineage: Bacteria
Description: partial 16S ribosomal RNA
Rfam family: Bacterial small subunit ribosomal RNA
Source: RNAcentral
CAGUAGCCGCGGUAAUACGGAGGGUGCAAGCGUUAAUCGGAAUUACUGGGCGUAAAGCGCACGCAGGCGGUCUGUCAAGUCGGAUGUGAAAUCCCCGGGCUCAACCUGGGAACUGCAUCCGAAACUGGCAGGCUAGAGUCUUGUAGAGGGGGGUAGAAUUCCAGGUGUAGCGGUGAAAUGCGUAGAGAUCUGGAGGAAUACCGGUGGCGAAGGCGGCCCCCUGGACAAAGACUGACGCUCAGGUGCGAAAGCGUGGGGAGCAAACAGGAUUAGAUACCCCGGUAGUCCCUGUCUCUUAUAC